CCUACGGGCGUCAGCAGUGAGGAAUAUUGGUCAAUGGGCGCGAGCCUGAACCAGCCAAGUCGCGUGAGGGAAGACGGUCCUAUGGAUUGUAGACCUCUUUUGUCGGGGAGCAAAAGACGCCACGCGUGGCGUUCCGAGAGUACCAGAAGCAAAAGCAUCGGUUAACUCCGUGCCAGCACCCGCGGUAAUACGGAGGAGGCGAGCGUUAUCCGGAUGUAUUGGGUUUAAAGGGUGCGCAGGCGGAAGAUCAAGCCAGCGGUAAAAUUGUGAGGCUCAACCUCUUCGAGCCGUCGAAACUGGUUUUCUUGAGUGAGCGAGAAGUAUGCGGAAUGCGUGGUGUAGCGGUGUAAUGCAUAGAUAUCACGCAGAACUCCGAUUGCGAAGGCAGCAUACCGGCGCUCAACUGACGCUCAUGCACGAAAGUGUGGGUAUCGAACAGGAUUAGAUACCCCUGUAGUC
This 459-nucleotide ribosomal RNA is filed under the name uncultured bacterium. RNAcentral describes it as "partial 16S ribosomal RNA". It matches the Rfam family "Bacterial small subunit ribosomal RNA", at positions 338 to 795 of the family's 1533-position model. The record is from RNAcentral.